GAAUGGUUUUCUCUAGCGCAUAG
RNAcentral lists this small nuclear RNA (23 nucleotides) under Arabidopsis thaliana (thale cress). Its description in RNAcentral is "snRNA_17090". The record is from RNAcentral. Lineage: Eukaryota; Viridiplantae; Streptophyta; Magnoliopsida; Brassicales; Brassicaceae.